UUGGAGGGCAAGUCUGGUGCCAGCAGCCGCUGUAAUUCCAGCUCCAAUAGCGUAUAUUAAAGUUGUUGCAGUUAAAAAGCUCGUAGUUGAAUUUCGGGGUUAGUAGGCUGGUCGUGCCACCGGUAUGUACUGGUCUUACUGAUUCCUCCUUCCUGAUGAACUGUAAUGCCAUUAAUUUGGUGUUGCAGGGAAUCUGGACUGUUACUUUGAAAAAAUUAGAGUGUUUAAAGCAGGCUAACGCUUGAAUACAUUAGCAUGGAAUAAUGAAAUAGGACGUUCGAUCCUAUUUUGUUGGUUUCUAGGAUUGACGUAAUGAUUAAUAGGGAUAGUUGGGGGCAUUAGUAUUCAAUUGUCAGAGGUGAAAUUCUUGGAUUUAUUGAAGACUGACUACUGCGAAAGCAUUUGCCAAGGAUGUUUUCAUUAAUCAAGAACGAAAGUUAGGGGAUCGAAGACGAUCAGAUACCGUCGUAGUCUUAACCAUAAACUAUGUCGACUAGGGAUCGGAUGAUGUUAAUUUUUUAAUGACUCAUUCGGCGCCUUACGGGAAAC
RNAcentral lists this ribosomal RNA (549 nucleotides) under uncultured Glomus. RNAcentral describes it as "SSU rRNA". It matches the Rfam family "Eukaryotic small subunit ribosomal RNA", at positions 548 to 1098 of the family's 1831-position model. The record is from RNAcentral. Lineage: Eukaryota; Fungi; Glomeromycota; Glomeromycetes; Glomerales; Glomeraceae.